GCACCCUUAGUUCAACUGGACAGAACAAAUGACUUCUAAUCAUUAGGCUACAGGUUCGAAUCCUGUAGGGUGUG
RNAcentral lists this transfer RNA (74 nucleotides) under Salmonella phage BPSELC-1. Its description in RNAcentral is "tRNA-Arg". It matches the Rfam family "tRNA". From Rfam's summary of the family: Transfer RNA (tRNA) molecules are approximately 80 nucleotides in length. Their secondary structure includes four short double-helical elements and three loops (D, anti-codon, and T loops). Further hydrogen bonds mediate the characteristic L-shaped molecular structure. tRNAs have two regions of fundamental functional importance: the anti-codon, which is responsible for specific mRNA codon recognition, and the 3' end, to which the tRNAs corresponding amino acid is attached (by aminoacyl-tRNA synthetases). tRNAs cope with the degeneracy of the genetic code in two manners: having more than one tRNA (with a specific anti-codon) for a particular amino acid; and 'wobble' base-pairing, i.e. permitting non-standard base-pairing at the 3rd anti-codon position. Lineage: Duplodnaviria; Heunggongvirae; Uroviricota; Caudoviricetes; Andersonviridae. The record is from RNAcentral.